UUUAAUCAGUCUAAAUAUUCUAGUUAUAAAGAAGUUGAAAACCUAAUGAAUUAAAAUCUUCUAACAACUAGUCAAUCAUCCAUCUCCAACCAAAAAAAAUCACAAACCCUAUAACCUCAAAACUACAUUAAACCCAGCAAUGUCAACAAUUCAAGAAUAAUUGAAAAUUCUAGCGUUUGAUUUAGAAAUCCUAAUGGACAGCUUACUUGGGCUCUCAUAUAUGAGAUGACAAUGUUGGCAUUGUCACACUUGACAGUCAUGAUGUUGUUGUUGCUGGCACAGGGGAGCACCUUGGAGAUGUGGUUUAGGUUCAUGGCUGGCACAGGGGAGCACCUUGGAGAGGUUGUGGUCACAACGAAAAAAAUGCUUGAAACUGUCAGAGCGGAGCUGGAGCCACAUGGCCUAGAGGGAUGGCCUCGAGGAGGAGCAAUCGAAGUUGGUGGGUUUAGAGUCCUCAUUACUUCUAGCACCUUCUUUAGAGGGCUCCCUACUUGUUGGAGGGGGUCUUAGACUUGGGUAACUGAUUAGGGCAUUGAAGUCGGAGGAGGAGGCUAGUGGCUAAGGUGGUUGAGCUCUAGAAGGUUGCAGUACAAUGGAGGGAAAGAGGUUGAUGGGUGGUGGCUAGGGUUUUUUGUGGAGAAUGAGAGAGAUGGAGGUGGAGGGGGUUAAGAUAUGUGAGAGAGGUUAGAUAUUAAGGAAAAUUUCUAUGGGUCUUGAAUGGGUCAACAUGGGCUAAACAGGUUAGGAUUCUAAACCAAAAGUUAACCCAUUUAAUCAAUGGAUUAGUCAAGUCAACCUGUUUAUGAUCCAAACUUGUUUUUGUUAAGCAUGGACUUGUUUAUCUCGUGUUGGCUAUGGGUUGGGUUGGCAGGUCUAGUCGUGAUUUGCCACCUUUAAGUUAUCUCAUUAUUAUUUAUUUUUGUUUUCUAGUUCAUGUAUCUUAUCAAUUGCAUUUUUUUCCUGAAAUUUCUGCCUUUAAUUGAUCAAAGUUUCACUCUGGUCGUGACAUUUUCCUCCUUCCCAUUUCCCCCUCUCUCUCCCUCGCUCACACACAUGCACACGGACAGUCUCACACAAUCAUGCUCACGUACAUGUGAAUACUCAUUAUAUAUAUAUAUAUAUAUAUA
RNAcentral lists this long non-coding RNA (1127 nucleotides) under Phoenix dactylifera (date palm). RNAcentral's name for it is "long non-coding RNA (PDAC_LNC015719)". The record is from RNAcentral. Lineage: Eukaryota; Viridiplantae; Streptophyta; Magnoliopsida; Arecales; Arecaceae.